RNAcentral lists this ribosomal RNA (481 nucleotides) under uncultured bacterium. RNAcentral describes it as "bacterial SSU rRNA". It matches the Rfam family "Bacterial small subunit ribosomal RNA", at positions 501 to 985 of the family's 1533-position model. The record is from RNAcentral.
CUACGUGCCAGCAGCCGCGGUAAUACGGAAGGUCCGGGCGUUAUCCGGAUUUAUUGGGUUUAAAGGGAGCGUAGGCCGGAGAUUAAGUGUGUUGUGAAAUGUAGACGCUCAACGUCUGACUUGCAGCGCAUACUGGUUUCCUUGAGUACGCACAACGUUGGCGGAAUUCGUCGUGUAGCGGUGAAAUGCUUAGAUAUGACGAAGAACUCCGAUUGCGAAGGCAGCUGACGGGAGCGCAACUGACGCUGAAGCUCGAAGGUGCGGGUAUCGAACAGGAUUAGAUACCCUGGUAGUCCGCACAGUAAACGAUGGAUGCCCGCUGUUGGUACCCGGUAUCAGCGGCUAAGCGAAAGCAUUAAGCAUCCCACCUGGGGAGUACGCCGGCAACGGUGAAACUCAAAGGAAUUGACGGGGGCCCGCACAAGCGGAGGAACAUGUGGUUUAAUUCGAUGAUACGCGAGGAACCUUACCCGGGCUUGAA